RNAcentral lists this unclassified non-coding RNA (253 nucleotides) under uncultured bacterium. RNAcentral describes it as "contains 16S-23S intergenic spacer region". It matches the Rfam family "Bacterial small subunit ribosomal RNA", at positions 524 to 776 of the family's 1533-position model. The record is from RNAcentral.
UACGAGGGGUGCAAGCGUUAUUCGGAAUUAUUGGGCGUAAAGGGUGUGUAGGCGGCAUAUUAAGUCUGUUGUUAAAUAUCUCGGCCUAACCGAGAGCCAGCAAUGGAUACUGGUAUGCUAGAGGAUGGAAGAGAGAAGUGGAAUUCUUGGAGUAGCGGUAAAAUGCGUAGAUCUCAAGAGGAACACCGAUGGCGAAGGCAGCUUCUUGGUCCAUUCCUGACGCUGAGACACGAAAGCGUGGGGAGCAAACAGG